Suricata suricatta (meerkat) is the source of this 804-nucleotide long non-coding RNA. RefSeq lists it as uncharacterized. The record is from RefSeq and is a predicted model, not a curated record. NCBI's taxonomy places the organism in Eukaryota, Metazoa, Chordata, Mammalia, Carnivora, Herpestidae. The transcript is spliced from 3 exons.
GGUGGCGACAAGUCGCGUUUGGCCCCAGGGGCUGUGGGGUCACCUUUUCUUCCUCCCUCCUGCUACCCCAAGUCGUCUGAGGUGUGUGUUACGCAGUGGGAGAGCACGUUGGCCUGGAUCUCGAGCUACUCACGUUCUGGCCCUGCCUCUGUCAUUUCCUAGAGCUGUGGCUUCGGGUGCUUUGGGGCAAAUCUGGAGAACUGAGACUGACUCUGAGAACCUUCCUUUGAAGCCAGCCACUCGUUGGGCCAGACUUGGUGCCUGACCAUAGACCUAUGGUGGACUGGGAGGUCCGUUCCCUUAAAAUCAGCGGAGUUGGGAAACGUGCACGCCACACCGGGAGGAAUACAAAACGGACCGAUUACACACUCACGCCCAAGUCCGUGGUUCCGGACUUGUGUCUGCCGGGCCCUCUCUUCUUGGGCAUCCCAGUUUCUUCGUCCGUUUGGCCAGCGGUUCCCCUUGCCAUCUAUCUGUCACAUCCAACUGUGCUUCCAUCUGCCCUCCCAUCGCUCCAUCCUCCUCCUGCCAUCUGCCAGCUUUCCCACCCAUCCUUCAGACUGCUGGUAUUUCAUGCACCCCUCCUUGCCUCCCAGCAUGUGCGUCGGAACUCCAUCCGCUGGCCCAUGCGGCCGGCCGUCCCUCCAUCUUUCCGGAGUCCGCCCACCCGUCUCACCCGCCCCCUCUCUGGCUGCAGAGGGAACCCUCUCUUGGACCGGCCCUCUGUUGCACGACCCCCAGCGCCGGCUAAUCCAUACCCGGCCGCAGCUGUGCCCUCCCGCAGGCCGGCGCUGUCGUCAGUCU